AUAGUUUUCGCUCCCCUCUUAUUUCCAAUUGGUGUCCAAAAGAGAGAAAAAGCCAUAGACGAUCUGUAAAGUCGACACUCCUCACUCUCCUCUUUUCCGUCCACUGCUGCGAGCCAUGGCUCCAGGGCGAAAGGUGACAUCAUCCAUUAGGAGAUCCUCUACUCUUUCACUGUCAUAGUUGAGCCCAAUUGAGACUACUGCACAAUCUCAAUCCCAAGAUGUUCCACAACCGGACCCUUUGGGCUUUCCUUUGACACAAUCUAAUGGUGCAGAUUGAAUAUGCAUAAGUUUGGUAGUGGGGAAGAUGGUAUAUAUACGCUCCACUAUGAAAACUUUUUGUUUGGAUAUAUGCUUCUAUGAAGACUUUUUUUGAAUGAAGUUCCGAGUCUUCUUUUCUGGAUAUAAGUUUUAUGAAGACUCGUUUUUGGCUGAAGUUUCGAGUCUUCUUUUUUAAUUUUAAUGAUGCUACUGAACUAUGAUGAACAUAUAUGGUAUGGUCUACCUUUCCUGUUUUUGUCAUGGGGACAUUGAUGCUUUAGACCCUAUGGGUGGAUGGACAUUUUGGUGUAGAGUACAUAUUUCUCAUGGUUAAUGGAUGUCUAAUUUGAACAUGAUUAUAUUGGUUUAUG
This is a long non-coding RNA of Rhododendron vialii, 629 nucleotides long. RefSeq lists it as uncharacterized. Lineage: Eukaryota; Viridiplantae; Streptophyta; Magnoliopsida; Ericales; Ericaceae. The record is from RefSeq and is a predicted model, not a curated record. The transcript is spliced from 3 exons.